Molecule: long non-coding RNA, 8359 nt
Filed under: Medicago truncatula (barrel medic)
Lineage: Eukaryota; Viridiplantae; Streptophyta; Magnoliopsida; Fabales; Fabaceae
Description: long non-coding RNA (MTRU_LNC004398)
Source: RNAcentral
ACCAAAUUUAUAAGUACUAACAAUAUAAGGCCAAGUAAGUACGAUAGCAAAGACGAUUCUAAAUCUUAUAUAAGUGCAUCACAGUGCUGAUAAAACACAGCACAUAAAAAACUCGAAACAAACAACUACCGUUGUAAACUCUAGCUAGGUUCUAUUAGAUGCUACAAUUACUUAUGCUGAGCACAUAGGCAACUGUUUUCACCUACAUCUGAUGCUAUGCAAUACGGUUGAAAUGUACCAUCUUCAAACCAGGUAGCACGCUUCUGCACAAGCUCGUUUAGAAAAUCAUCAAGCUUCUCAAUAGUGACGUUUGGCAUCACCACCACAUGAGCGAUGUUCCCCUUGCAUGCUAACUGCCACUUGCGUAUAAAUUCUUCAUCAUGUGGUCGCUCAAAUACAACCGUGCUGCUAAGCUCAUUAAGCAUUGCACCAAUCCCAGCCUCGAUAAGGCGGUCUUUGAAGUAGUAUGCAUUCCGCAAGCAUUUCUGCACUUCUUUCUGAAAGCCUCUGUAUCCUUUCCGGUUCAAGGUAUACCAAAGGAAUAUGGGAGCAUGGCCAUUUCGACUACCCAUGAUCGAUAGUCGCAUCCCUAGAAGCAAGGUAUUCCACAUUCCUGGAAAGACCAUUAAUAUGCUCCAAUCUUGUUAUCUGCACACCACAAGGCAUUGGGCACCCCACAAAUUUGUGGCCAGAAACACUGACACUGCCAAUAGGCUUCUUAAAAGUAACUUUUGGAGCCUGACAAAGCACAAUUUAUUUUUUAUUAAAUAAAAUAUUAUAAAUAUCAACUCUGUCGAUGCAUAUGAAAUGGAUACAAAAUAACAGAAUAUGGCACGAUCCAAGAAACUACAGGAAUAGUUCUCAUUUUAUAAAGCUAGCAGCCAAACAAUCACAUAUCGUCCAACAUAGAUGUAUUGACAAAGAAGCAACAAACUUAAUAUUCUCUAUUUUUUAAAUAUAACCAGGUCAGAAUAAAGACAAAAUUCUCAGACUUAAAUUUGAAAUAAGGGGUGCCAUUUCUUCUGAAUGUAAAUAGUCACCAAUAGUAAUGAUCAUAUUUGUAUAAAUUAGGCUAAUCAAUAAGCAUUAGAAAAGCAACUCAACUAUCAUAUAUGAACAAAGUUUGAUCAUAUAAUAAUUGGAAUAAGGUCUACGAAUAUGACCUUAUUGCUAAAGUGAAAAUGCAGAACAAGCUGGGUAAGAUAGAAAGGGCAUGCAUGGAAGAACCAAAAUGCAGUGUGCAAAUAUCAAAUAUGCAAACAACCAAAACAAAUGGCAAUGACACAUAAGCAUUCCCUAUCAGAACAUAUGGAGAUAGCAGAUGGAGGUUNNNNNNNNNNNNNNNNNNNNNNNNNNNNNNNNNNNNNNNNNNNNNNNNNNNNNNNNNNNNNNNNNNNNNNNNNNNNNNNNNNNNNNNNNNNNNNNNNNNNCCUCGGUCACGGUAAAAUAGAAAACAACCACCAUCGAAGACAACGAACAACAAACCUCAAUCAUUGCUCACCAUUUCGUCCUCUUUCCAUUCCAUCAACAAGGUGGUCUUGUUCUUGUUCAUUGUUGACAAGGUAUUUCUAGAUCAACCUCUUUUGUCAUUGCUUAUCUCUGUAGAGAAAAGGACAAAUAUUUGAAGAUGCUUUUCAAUUUCAAUAUUAUGUGAAGAAUGCUCGUGUUACAAAUCCUAACAUGGAUUUUGCUUGUCAAAUUUUACAAGUGUUAGAAAAGAGUUGUAAAUGUAAAUUCAAAUGCAAAUGUUAAUGCUAGCCUUCAAGUCCUAUUUAUGUUCUUGGGAUGUUAUAAAAUGGCCCCUCAUUCACCUAAUGGCCCUCUUAAUUGGGUGCCUAAAAUGGUGAUAAGCCAAUAAAACAUCAAAUGCAAAGCGUUUGUUUCUCGUGGUGCUUUUACUGUUCACGUUUCUUCUGCUACAUACAUAAGUUUGUAUUGUAAAAAUUGUAGUUCGGUUACGCAAGAUCAGCAGCUACGUUGAUCGUUCAUUAUGAGAAAUAAAUGCUUCAAAUCACAACAUAUGUGCAAAUGAUGAGCUAGUUGACUUUUUGGUUGCUCGCUCUAAAAACAAACAAUUUGACGGAGAAUCAAGGGUGUUAAUAUAAAAGAGAGGUGUUUUGUUUAUUUGAUUGAAAUUUAAGGGGGUUAGUGUUGGUUUUAAAACUAGAGGGGGUCUAACUGUCAUUUUAAUAAACCUUAGGGAAGGUAAAUGUAAUUUUCCCUUAACCAAUUUGCGAGAUUGUCUUUUACAUGAGUUGGGACCACUAUCAAGAUUGGUAGUCGAGUUCAGCUCCCACAUAAGGUGGCGAGCAUUACAAUGAGUAGGUUCAACUCCUGGUUUUGAAUCUCUUCUCACUUUUUCUUUGACUCAGAAACCAAUGAAAGAUAAAAAUCAUAGUGACUCUAAGAAAGCUUUCUUUUCCACAAGUUUUCAUCCAUCCGUUUUUUUAACUAACUUGGUAAUUGCAGCUUUCGCUGUGGAAACUGAACAAUAUAUGAUCAAUAACAAGCCAAGUAAUGGCUAUUUGACCAAAUUUAUAAGUACUAACAAUAUAAGGCCAAGUAAGUACGAUAGCAAAGACGAUUCUAAAUCUUAUAUAAGUGCAUCACAGUGCUGAUAAAACACAGCACAUAAAAAACUCGAAACAAACAACUACCGUUGUAAACUCUAGCUAGGUUCUAUUAGAUGCUACAAUUACUUAUGCUGAGCACAUAGGCAACUGUUUUCACCUACAUCUGAUGCUAUGCAAUACGGUUGAAAUGUACCAUCUUCAAACCAGGUAGCACGCUUCUGCACAAGCUCGUUUAGAAAAUCAUCAAGCUUCUCAAUAGUGACGUUUGGCAUCACCACCACAUGAGCGAUGUUCCCCUUGCAUGCUAACUGCCACUUGCGUAUAAAUUCUUCAUCAUGUGGUCGCUCAAAUACAACCGUGCUGCUAAGCUCAUUAAGCAUUGCACCAAUCCCAGCCUCGAUAAGGCGGUCUUUGAAGUAGUAUGCAUUCCGCAAGCAUUUCUGCACUUCUUUCUGAAAGCCUCUGUAUCCUUUCCGGUUCAAGGUAUACCAAAGGAAUAUGGGAGCAUGGCCAUUUCGACUACCCAUGAUCGAUAGUCGCAUCCCUAGAAGCAAGGUAUUCCACAUUCCUGGAAAGACCAUUAAUAUGCUCCAAUCUUGUUAUCUGCACACCACAAGGCAUUGGGCACCCCACAAAUUUGUGGCCAGAAACACUGACACUGCCAAUAGGCUUCUUAAAAGUAACUUUUGGAGCCUGACAAAGCACAAUUUAUUUUUUAUUAAAUAAAAUAUUAUAAAUAUCAACUCUGUCGAUGCAUAUGAAAUGGAUACAAAAUAACAGAAUAUGGCACGAUCCAAGAAACUACAGGAAUAGUUCUCAUUUUAUAAAGCUAGCAGCCAAACAAUCACAUAUCGUCCAACAUAGAUGUAUUGACAAAGAAGCAACAAACUUAAUAUUCUCUAUUUUUUAAAUAUAACCAGGUCAGAAUAAAGACAAAAUUCUCAGACUUAAAUUUGAAAUAAGGGGUGCCAUUUCUUCUGAAUGUAAAUAGUCACCAAUAGUAAUGAUCAUAUUUGUAUAAAUUAGGCUAAUCAAUAAGCAUUAGAAAAGCAACUCAACUAUCAUAUAUGAACAAAGUUUGAUCAUAUAAUAAUUGGAAUAAGGUCUACGAAUAUGACCUUAUUGCUAAAGUGAAAAUGCAGAACAAGCUGGGUAAGAUAGAAAGGGCAUGCAUGGAAGAACCAAAAUGCAGUGUGCAAAUAUCAAAUAUGCAAACAACCAAAACAAAUGGCAAUGACACAUUAUCAUUCUCUAUCAGAACAUAUGGAGAUAGCAGAUGGAGGUUUCAGCAUUAUAUCUCACAUGUUACAUGAUUUAUUCAUGGUAACAUUAGCACUUACUCGUUUCACAAAAGGCAUCAUGAGACCAAACAAAGCUCCAUCAACGUGGAUGUAGAACCUGUCCUGUGAAAAUCCAGCUUCUUCAAGUUUUUGUAUGACCAGAUCAAGAUCAUCCACAGCUCCUUUCACAGUUGUACCUGCAAAAUUUCAGUUCUAUGAGCCAGAACCAAAAGAAUGAAGAUGAGGGGAGGCAUGGGACUAUUGGAGAGACAGUGUGGAGAAACUUACCGAUGUUCACAUUUAUAAUUGCUGGUUUGUCUUGGUGGCGAAGAAGUUUGGCCUUGAAAUCAUCACAAUCAAUCUCGCCAGAAUUAAGAGUCUCAACCUUUUCACAUUCCAUUCUGUACAUACGGGCAGCUUUAAAAAUUGAAAGGAUCUCCAAGGUUGUUUAUGGAAAAGUGCUGAAGUUGAGAGAGUGCGCCAUAAUCGAAAUCCAAAUUGUAGGGGUAGCCUGCAAUAGAUUUUUCAUAAAUUAAAUGAGAUGCUAGGCCGAAUUAACUACAGAGAUUAGUUGAAGAAAUGAGCUUCAACGGAUACACAAACAACAACCAAGUCAUAUCUCACCAUGUACAUGGAUCAAAUGCCGCCAUAAUGUUCUAUAAUAUAGCAUAUCCCUAUCCAACUCAUUAAUUAAUCUCUAGAUCUUUCUCAAUGGUUACACAAAAUCCUAGUAAAAUAAAGUUACUUCAAAAAUGGAAAUGGAAAUAAAAAUCAUUUAAAUGCACUGUUAGAGAUUCCAAAAAUAUAUGCAAGACUACAAUUUUUUUUAAAUUCCCUCUUGUAUAUAGAACAUCUUAUGUGUCUUUUCGAAUGUUUUUGUAUUGUAUAAAUCUACUUUCUCACAUGCACAACUUUCAAAGGGGUCUUUUUGUGAAUCAAGGCAACAUCCACUGAAAUUGUNUCAUAUAUGAACAAAGUUUGAUCAUAUAAUAAUUGGAAUAAGGUCUACGAAUAUGACCUUAUUGCUAAAGUGAAAAUGCAGAACAAGCUGGGUAAGAUAGAAAGGGCAUGCAUGGAAGAACCAAAAUGCAGUGUGCAAAUAUCAAAUAUGCAAACAACCAAAACAAAUGGCAAUGACACAUAAGCAUUCCCUAUCAGAACAUAUGGAGAUAGCAGAUGGAGGUUUCAGCAUUAUAUCUCACAUGUUACAUGAUUUAUUCAUGGUAACAUUAGCACUUACUCGUUUCACAAAAGGCAUCAUGAGACCAAACAAAGCUCCAUCAACGUGGAUGUAGAACCUGUCCUGUGAAAAUCCAGCUUCUUCAAGUUUUUGUAUGACCAGAUCAAGAUCAUCCACAGCUCCUUUCACAGUUGUACCUGCAAAAUUUCAGUUCUAUGAGCCAGAACCAAAAGAAUGAAGAUGAGGGGAGGCAUGGGACUAUUGGAGAGACAGUGUGGAGAAACUUACCGAUGUUCACAUUUAUAAUUGCUGGUUUGUCCUGGUGGCGAAGAAGUUUGGCCUUGAAAUCAUCACAAUCAAUCUCGCCAGAACUAAGAGUCUCAACCUUUUCACAUUCCAUUCUGUACAUACGGGCAGCUUUAAAAAUUGAAAGGAUCUCCAAGGUUGUUUAUGGAAAAGUGCUGAAGUUGAGAGAGUGCGCCAUAAUCGAAAUCCAAAUUGUAGGGGUAGCCUGCAAUAGAUUUUUCAUAAAUUAAAUGAGAUGCUAGGCCGAAUUAACUACAGAGAUUAGUUGAAGAAAUGAGCUUCAACGGAUACACAAACAACAACCAAGUCAUAUCUCACCAUGUACAUGGAUCAAAUGCCGCCAUAAUGUUCUAUAAUAUAGCAUAUCCCUAUCCAACUCAUUAAUUAAUCUCUAGAUCUUUCUCAAUGGUUACACAAAAUCCUAGUAAAAUAAAGUUACUUCAAAAAUGGAAAUGGAAAUAAAAAUCAUUUAAAUGCACUGUUAGAGAUUCCAAAAAUAUAUGCAAGACUACAAUUUUUUUUAAAUUCCCUCUUGUAUAUAGAACAUCUUAUGUGUCUUUUCGAAUGUUUUUGUAUUGUAUAAAUCUACUUUCUCACAUGCACAACUUUCAAAGGGGUCUUUUUGUGAAUCAAGGCAACAUCCACUGAAAUUGUAAUAGCGCCGACGCAGUUGCAAAUUCAUUCUGAACACAAGAUAACAUAAUAAAACACUCAAGCGAAGUCUGGAUGGAAAAAGGAUUCAAAUUAUUUUCUUGAUGUCAGCAUGGAAAAUAUCAAAACUAUAUUUACUUUUUUUCCUAAGUAAAAUGAGGUGCUAUUCACCUCCAGGAUAAGCCAUAAUACUUGGUAAUAAAAGAACAAAUAAUCUGAUAGACUCUGGUUCAUAGCCCAUACACUUGAGAAAGAAUGAAAGAAACAAGAUGAUUUUAUCAAUAAGAUCUUUCUUAGCUCUAGAUCAAUGACUAACCUGGUAUCACUCCCCCUAAGACCAAUUUCCAACCAUACAAUACACUACUUUACCCUGUCUUCCUAGUUCCUACAUCUUAAUAUCCUAUUUCUGACAGAUUUUACAGAAUUCUAAUUAACAAUGAAAACUGUAACUCCCUUUACGAACAGAAAGUAACCCGUUGAGUUAUCUAGAACUUAAGCUGUCAUUUCCUACAGACACAAUUGAGCUUACUUCCUAAUAUGGGAAUAAAGAUUUGAAAUAGAAUGAUCAAGGGAAAUAAAGAACAAGAAUGGAAUACCCCACCAAAAUGGUUAUGGGUCCAUUUACUGAAAAAAUAAUAAGAACUCCUCAUGUCAAAAUCUCCAAAAUAUAAAAAUAAAAAAACAGGAUUCUACAUGAUGUUCAUUCACUAAAAGCUUCUUAAGGGUGUACAUGGUUAACCAAAUCAAGUGAACCAAACCACUUUAUAAUUCGGUUUUGAUAAACCAAACCAAACCAAACCGUUUGUCACAAACCUUCUUCAGGGCAUUGCAUUUGCUGUUAGUAGUGCAAAUCAGGUUUGCACAAUCCUAUAUUGCCUACGGUGUUGCAACUGUCUACUGUGAUGCGUUGCUUGUUUGGUCUCUUUUGUGCAGGGAUUUUUUUUUUAGGGCUUGUAAUUGGCUCGUUAGAAUGAACAUGAAUACUUAAGUUUUAAUAAAUAUUUCCUAUGAGUAAACACUAUUUUCUUCUAUAUCCAGAACUAGCACCUACAAUACCCCCAGAUACAACAAUGACAUCCAUGUAAUGUAAUCAGCAAAGUAAAAGGAUCAAGAGAGCAAGCAUUGUCAAACCUAAAUGAUACUUUGUCCUUUCAGUUAAGGAUUUUCUGUAUCUGGCCAGCACACUUGCCAUAUGAGCAUCACGAUCGCCAGUAAUUUCAUCAUCUGCUUCUGGCUCCGUGACUUCUAGACACGUGGUGUGAAUAUUUCUACCCAGAACUAUUUCUCUUUUCUCUUUUCCUCCAUUGAUCUUUGCCUCCUCCUUGUCAAUGCCGUUGUCUGCAACUACAGGAGGCACUGGAUCUUUGAUGAUGGCUGACACAUCAAAAUCAUCAGGCAAUAGUUCGACUGCUCCAUUAGUGCUCAAACCAUUGACCAAAACAUCAGCACUUCCAACCAUUUUGUUAUCCACAACAGAGGAACAGCUGACAAAAAUUGGAUUACACAAUUAAGGGUAAAUCAUAAAAAAUGGGAACCAAAUCCAAUUUUUUUUAAAGAUAUCCCAAAACGUCAGCAAAAGGAAAAUGUUUCACUUCCACUAUAUAUAGAGCCUGUUUGUAACAACUUUUUUCAAACAAAAUAAUCAAUUAUAAAAAAUUCCAUCCAUUUGUUACGUAUUUUCAAAAAAUUGGGGAAAAAAAUCUAAAAAUUGCUUCAAACAAGAAGCUGUUUUGAUCGAUUUUUCUGAAAAUCAAUUUUUUUAUACCUGACUUUAUUUUUUAAAAAGUGAUUUUCAUUUUUAUAAAUAAACACAAAAACCUAGCCAUUUCUAUUCAUUGUGUUAAGAAGAACAUGACAUAAAAAUGCAUAAAUGCAAGCAAGAACACAUAAAAGGAAGUGAAACAAUACAUCACACAAAAUCUACGUAAAUCUCCUUUAAAUUCAUAAUAACUGUAAGUAUGUUCAAGUGCAUCUUUGGUUCCACUUUUGGAGGAGAUUUUGACAUGUUUGAUUACUCUGGAUUAGAACUAGUUUUGCCUCUACUUGAAGCUAGAAAUUGCAGCUUCUGAUUCUAUAAUUGAAAGUAAAAAUUCGUAGCUUUUGAUUAUUGAAUUGAUUUUUACAGUCAAGUUUAUUGUUCAACUUGUAUGUUUGGUUCCACUGUAACAAAAACUGAUUAUGUUUGAAUUGAUAAUGUAAAUCUGAUUUAGGCAAAUCUAAAUAGAGUGUAAAAAUGAAUUAUAGAAUUAAAAGCUACAAUUUAUAGCUAGCAUGCAAAAUCAAUUAGAAUCAAUUACAUUCAUAUAUUGUAUCGAAACACAAUAAAUUCAAUAAAAAUGCAUUAAAGUAUAUAUAAAAAUCAGAUAAGC